GGGCCCGUAGCGUAGUGGCCACGCGUUUGCUUCAUAAGCAGAUGAUCAUGGAUUCGAUCCCAGCCCCG
Non-coding RNA from Aedes albopictus (Asian tiger mosquito), 68 nucleotides. NCBI's taxonomy places the organism in Eukaryota, Metazoa, Arthropoda, Insecta, Diptera, Culicidae. The record is from Rfam.